RNAcentral lists this ribosomal RNA (198 nucleotides) under uncultured bacterium. RNAcentral describes it as "partial 16S ribosomal RNA". It matches the Rfam family "Bacterial small subunit ribosomal RNA", at positions 632 to 829 of the family's 1533-position model. The record is from RNAcentral.
CUGCUCUGACUAAAUUUCGGGAGGGGAGUGAGAAAUUCCUAUUGGGUGGGUGAAAGGAAUGCAUAUUAGGAGGAACACCCGUGGCUAAGGCACCCCUCUCUCCUGAAACUGCCUCUCAGGAACGAAAGCAUGCGUGGCAAACAAGAUUAAAUACCCUGGUAGUCCAUGCCGUCAACGGUGGGCACUAGGUGUGGGUUC